Molecule: long non-coding RNA, 2428 nt
Filed under: Homo sapiens (human)
Lineage: Eukaryota; Metazoa; Chordata; Mammalia; Primates; Hominidae
Description: non-protein coding lnc-SIX3-3:3
Source: RNAcentral
AGCUCCGAACCCCGCCACCCUCUGGGCGAACGGAAUGGCACCCGCGGAGACGGGCGGGGACGGGCGAAAGCGGGUUUGCUCCGACCCGAAGCUGAGCCCGGGUUGGAGGGCGAGACCGUAGGCGAGAAUGGCCGCGCGGGCUGGGAGACCCGGGCCGGUAUGGAGUGAGUGGAGCCGCCCGAGAUCAUCAUUUGAGCUAUUCCACUGAAGUCAAGCAUGAAAUCUAUUUAGCUGGAUAGCUACCCAUUUCCUGUGACCUGCAAAAGAGAUGCCCUAUUCUUUCAGGAUCCUUGGAAUGCCACAUGCCCAGGCCCACUGGAAAACUGGGAAGGAAAACUGGAGCCACAUGCCUGGGCCCACUGAGAUUCAUCACCCUUCCCCUACAACCCUGUGUCAAGGAAACACAAAGAUAGAGUGGAUUUCAGCACCACCCAAUGCAGACGCAUGGCUGCUAGUUUAUCAGCAUAGGUCAAUGAAUGGUUUUAAGUUGCUAUGGGUUUAAGAGGAUCUCUUAGUUGAUGGGAAUUUUUGAAUCUUUUUUUUGCGUGGGACCCUUUGGCAGUUUUGUAAAAUGUACAGACUAUUUCUCAGAAUGUUUCUAAACGUGUAAGUUAUAUUGAAAUUGGCCAGGCACGGUGGUUCAUGCCUGUAAUCCCAGCAUUUUGGGAGACCGAGGUGGGCGGAUCACUUGAGGUCAGGAGUUUGAGACCAACCUGGCCAACAUGGUGAAACCCCGUCUCUACUAAAAAAAAUACAAAAGUUAGCCAGGCGUGGUGGUGUGUGCCUGUAAUCCCAGCUACUUGGGAGGCUGAGGCAAGGAGAAUCGCAUAAACCUGGGAUGUGGAGGUUGCAGUGAGCCAAGAUUGUGCCAUUGCACUCCAGCCUGGGUGACAAAGCGAGACUCUGUCUCAGAAAAAAAAACAAAAACAAAAAUAUAUAUAUAUAGAAAUAAAAUUAUCAAGAUUUUUUUAAGAAAUAAGUUUGUGAUAUAUUUCUUUGUUAGCACAUCAAAUGCAAGAUCUAGUGGUGAGUCUAAUAAUUUCUGUGAUAUUGAAACAAUGAUAAGCGUUAAUGAUAAAUUCAAAAUAUCCUCAACAACUAUAAUGUGAUAUGAAGGUAUCUGUGAUUUCUAUUGGUGAGAAAGUCACAGGUAUUGCUAAUGCAUCUGUAGCUUGUUGUCUACAUUCAUAAUGAAAAGAAAUGCUAAUUUUUAAAUAAUGAUUGGUAGAAAUGAAAAUGUAAGUUUUUCAUCCAAGUUUAUGGACUUCUGCUUUUCCUUGAUUGCAUUUGCAAAUCUCCUUACUUCCUCUUGAAGAACCCCUUAGAGGGAGGAAGAGGGGGCAGUUCUAAUAGUACCUUAGAGAUAUGAAAUGAGAUGGUCACAGCCAUAUGAGUAGAUUUUGAUUGGAUUACACUGGGCCCAAGUUUGGAGUGUCAACAUUAAACCUGUGAUAUAAGAUCUUGUUCCUAAGAUGAAAAGUAACUUUAUAUUGUAAUCCUGUAGAGUUGAGAUCUUGAGAAGCAUUCCCUUGAUAAGAGGACACUGGAGGAAGUGUCAAAAUCACCUUCAAAGUAGGAGAGUGGUAACCAGAGCCAGGAAGGACUUGAUAAGGAUGAGUGAAUCACCUCUGCUUGGUGAAUGAGCCCAGGGUGGAGCUCAGCCUCCAUCCAGGGAGCUUCAGUCUCCAUCCAGGGAGUCUUUGUCAAGCAAACAGAGCAAAUCCCCAGAGAGGAGGGGAUCUGCAGUAAGGGUGGGAGAGGCACAUGCAGAUCAGGCAGAACAGCCUGUAGCCUGGCAGCAGAGAGCAGAGAGAGAGCCCAAGCAGGAGUGUCUUCCUGAAGAGUAGACAACGAUUGAUCAUUUAAACUUCAUUCAAAUUAAGAACUUUCACUUAUCAAUAGACAUUACUGAAGAAAAUGGAAAGGCAAACCACAUACUGGGAGGAAAAUAUUCAAGACAUAUAUCUGACAGAAGAUUCAUAUCCACCAUAUCCACAAUAUAUAAAGAGCUCUUACAAGUCAAAAACAAAUACAACCCAAAGAUCAUAAAUGUACAAAAGACUCCACAGACACUUCACAAAGAGGAUAUCCAAAUGGCCAGUAAGCAUUUGAAAAGGUGCUCAAUAUCAUUAGUCAUCAGGACAUGCAAAUUAAGCCUUCACUCAAAUACACAAAUUGCAGAAGGACUGAAAAAGUAGAAAUUCAUGAUGUCAAGUGUUGGAGAGGAUAUGGAGCAACUGAAACUCACACACUGUGGGUGGGAACGUACACUAGUAUACCCACUUUGGAAAGCUUUUAGUAUCUACUAAAACAAAGCACAAAUUGAUGCCCAAGACCCAGUAACUCCAUUCUUAGUUAUAGGCCCAAGAUUGGAUUUGUCUACCAAAAGACAGGUACAAGAAUAUAGCUUUAUGUAUUUUAUAUAUUU